UACGGAGGGUGCAAGCGUUAUCCGGAUUCACUGGGCUUAAAGGGUGCGUAGGCGGGCAGGUAAGUCAGUGGUGAAAUCUCCAAGCUUAACUUGGAAACUGCCGUUGAUACUAUCUGUCUUGAAUAUUGUGGAGGUGAGCGGAAUAUGUCAUGUAGCGGUGAAAUGCUUAGAUAUGACAUAGAACACCAAUUGCGAAGGCAGCUCACUACACAAUCAUUGACUCUGAGGCACGAAAGCGUGGGGAUCAAACAGG
This 253-nucleotide ribosomal RNA is filed under the name uncultured bacterium. RNAcentral's name for it is "partial 16S ribosomal RNA". It matches the Rfam family "Bacterial small subunit ribosomal RNA", at positions 524 to 776 of the family's 1533-position model. The record is from RNAcentral.